This 200-nucleotide long non-coding RNA is filed under the name Elaeis guineensis (African oil palm). Its description in RNAcentral is "long non-coding RNA (EGUI_LNC056093)". Lineage: Eukaryota; Viridiplantae; Streptophyta; Magnoliopsida; Arecales; Arecaceae. The record is from RNAcentral.
CUAGAAUUGAUGAUGUCAUCGAUAUCUAUCUUUGACACUGUAGAUUAGGUCAUGUUAGCAAAAAUAGAAUAAAUAGGUUGACUCAAAAGAAAAUCUUCGAAGUCUGUGAUUCUGAUUCACUUCUAGCCUGUGAGUCCUGUUUACUUAAAAAAAUGACUAAGUCAUCUUUUACUGAAAAAGGUAAGCAAGCUAGUGAAGUU